UACGUAGGCAGCGAGCGUUGUUCGGAGUUACUGGGCGUAAAGAGUGCGUAGGCGGUUUUCUAAGUUUGGUGUGAAAUCUCCCGGCUUAACUGGGAGGGUGCGCCGAAUACUGAGCGACUAGAGUGCGGGAGAGGAAAGUGGAAUUCCUGGUGUAGCGGUGAAAUGCGUAGAUAUCAGGAGGAACACCGGUGGUGUAGACGGCUUUCUGGACCGUAACUGACGCUGAGACACGAAAGCGUGGGUAGCAAACAGG
RNAcentral lists this ribosomal RNA (253 nucleotides) under uncultured bacterium. RNAcentral describes it as "partial 16S ribosomal RNA". It matches the Rfam family "Bacterial small subunit ribosomal RNA", at positions 524 to 776 of the family's 1533-position model. The record is from RNAcentral.